UUCGGGAACGGAACCGGAAGUUCCGCCAUCUCCUUGUACCAUUCGAGCUACAACAGGAUUUUCCGUAGAAACCGACAGCCAGACGGUUGCCAUGUCGACCUCAUCGCUACGGCGACAAGUGAAGAACAUUGUCCACAACUUCUCAGAGGCAGAGAUCAAGGUGCGGGAAGCGACAUCCAAUGACCCAUGGGGCCCCAGCAGCUCUCUGAUGUCAGAGAUUGCAGACCUGACCUACAACGUAGUGGCCUUCUCUGAGAUCAUGAGCAUGGUGUGGAAACGACUCAACGACCACGGCAAGAACUGGAGACACGUCUACAAGGCUAUGACUCUCAUGGAGUACCUCAUAAAGACUGGUUCAGAGCGCGUGGCUCAGCAGUGCAGAGAGAACAUCUACGCUGUCCAGACUCUCAAGGACUUCCAGUUCAUCGACAGAGACGGCAAGGACCAGGGGGUGAAUGUGCGGGAGAAGGCCAAACAGCUGGUAACACUGCUGAAGGACGAGGAGAGACUACGAGAGGAGAGGAUCCAUGCCCUCAAGACCAAAGAGAAGAUGGCACAGACCACCAGUGCCUCUUCGGCCCCCUCAGCUCCAGGUCUGGGGGGUGGAGCGCUGUCUCAGGGCUCUCACUCCGGAGGGGCGGACCCAGAGCAAGCGUGGCCACAGAGCUCCGGUGAGGAGGACCUGCAGCUGCAGCUGGCCCUGGCCAUGAGCAAGGAGGAGGCGGAACAGACUACUGUGGCCCCUCUGGAGGACGCAGAGCUCCGCUAUGCACUCACACUCAGCAAGGAAGUACAAGAACAGGAGGAGAGGCUGCGCAGGGGGGACGACCUGAGACUGCAGAUGGCCAUCGAGGAGAGCAGGAUGGAGAAGGCCAAGCCAGAGGAGAGUGUGUUAAUGGAGCUGAGUGCUGUGGACCCCUGGGGGGCUCCUGCUGCUGCCUCUGGGGGCUCUGCCGGCCACUCACCCCCUCCCACAGUCCCCCUCCCAGCCCCCUCUGGCCCCUGGGGCCUGGCCCCUGCAGACCCUUGGGGAGCCUCGUCGCCUGCUUCACCCCCCAGCGUAGACCCGUGGGCUAGUGGAGGGACGGCCCCCCCAACGAUAGCCCCCCCGCCAGACCCCUGGGGAGAGACAGCCUCAAGAGUCAACUCAGUUGACCCCUGGGGACCCUCAGCUGUGACCCCCCCCCAGUGUCGACCCCUGGGGCCCCUCUGUGCCCCUCUCCACCACCUCCUCUUUUGGGGGGCCAAUAGACCCCUGGGCUGGGGACGGGGUUGACCCCAUCAUCACCUCUGACCCAUGGAGCGACUCCGCCAAACACACUAAUGGCACAGGACACCCAGAACUGCGAGGUCAGUUAACGGGCGAUAGUGCGGGUUCUCCGGUGCCCUUUGACCUCACAUCUCUGUGCUCUUCACUUCCUGUCCGUAAGACCCCCCCGAGUCGUUCCUGGGGCCCAACGCAUCUCUGGUGGACCUGGACUCACUGGUGUCUUCUAAACCCAAACCUAAACAACCUCCUCCUCCAUCAAUCUCCUCCUCAACACACAACCCCUUCCUCCAGACUACAGCCUCGUCUUCAGCCCCUGGCAUGGCAGUCACCCCGGGCAGCACAAUCUCCAGCAGGGGGGUUUCCCCGACGCCACCCCCCACCUCCAACCCGUUUGGCGCGGCCGCCCCCAUGUCCUCCAUCUCCCCACAGCCCUCCACACUGGGCCUCAGCAGCCUCCGCACCAGCCCUGUACCACCCAACCCCAUGGCAUACCCUGGCAUGGGCUUGGGGCCUAUGGGUAUGGGAGCACCAGGCCUGGGGAUGGGCAUGAUGCAGAGCCCCAUGGGAAUGUCCCCCUACGGUGGGCUCUCGCCCAUGGGUCCUCCUGGGUCCUCUCACUUCAUGGGGCCCGGAGGGGCCCUGCCCCCACAGCUGAAUUUUGGGGGGGCCUACGGGGGCAGCUGGAGUGAUGCGAGGAGUGGGAGGGGCAGUGGGAGGGGCCGGAGUGACGGGCUCCAGCACCAAUCCCUUUCUUCUUUGAGGGCGUUUCGGCACUCCCCCUUCCUCUUCAACACCCAAUCCAGGCCCUGCCCCACCCCCUGGCUCAUCUACUUCCCCCCCCAGAGCGAUCCUCCUUCAACACAAACAUUUUAUGUUUCCAAUAAGAAACGUGUGUACAUCUCUAUAUUUAAAGAAAAUCUGAAUUUGUUAUUUUCUUUCAGAAGCAUUUACAUGUAUUUUUCUCCUAGCUCAGAUGAAUUUCAACAACAAAUAUUUUGGUUCCUUUCAUUUUAGUGGGAUGUAGCGGGAGGGAAAUAGACGUUUAUUUAUUUUUAUUUCGUUUUAAUGCGUUUUGCUUUCUUUCAGUCCUUUCUGAAAUAAAGGUGGGUGUUUGAGAGUUAGGCUUCAUCAGUUAUGUCACACUGAUAUAAUAUUGUAUUAUUGCACUGACAGAGAUGGGGAGAGAGAUGGGACAUGGCCACUAACAAACUGAAACACAAACAAAUUCCUGUACUUGCCUCUUCCUUUCUUUGUCUGAAAAGAGGAGGAUUGAAGGAGGAUUUGAUUUUAAAAAAACUCCUGAACAAGAUUUGGACUGAAAAAACUGGCAUUAACAUUUCAGCCACAAUAUAGUCAAAUCAUUCAGUAGCUGUUCUAUUUUUUAUUUACUGUCAUUUAUUCCCUUUUUUCCACUCCUGGGAAUGAAUAAACAAGGGGGGGAAAUUACGCAAUUAAUGCCAUUAAAUCAAAUGCUUAUUUUUUUUCUUGUCAUGGAAAUCAAGAGGGCAACUAAUUGAAUUGGUUGAGGAGAGAUGGAAUGUGUUUUGUAAAUGUGUUGUGUGGAAGAGUGUGUGUGAAUGUGUCUCCGUCUCCAUUCAUCCUGCGUCCUCGCUUAUUUCAGCAAGAUACAAAUCUAUUAUUUUUGUUUUUAAAAAUUGUCACUUGUAUCAAUGCUAUGUAAUGUUGGGAUUUCAAAUGAGGUAUUAUAAGGAUCGCAUUUUUCUGCCAAUUUUAUUUCACAAAUGUUUUGUAUUAAUCAAAAGCAUUAGUCUUUCUCACUCUUUCAUACAGAAUGUCUCGUCUCCAGGUGUCUCAACAUGACUGGACCCUCUCCUUUCUGACCCUCGCUCCUACGGGGGGAGAGCUGCAGAUGCUUCUUUUAAAGAGACAAUUCAAUGAACGAACUUAAACAACAGGGGACUUGAUGACAUGCUCCAUGCUGUUUCUUUUCAUUUAGUUUGAUGAAUUGAUUGUUAUUUUAUAUCAACUAAAAGAUCUCUUUUAUUGGGUAAGGUCACAUUUUGUGUGGUGUUAACUGUGAACAUUCACAUUUGAGAAGUACAAUAAAAAAAGAAAAUAAAUGUAAGAAAUCAAAUACA
Oncorhynchus gorbuscha (pink salmon) is the source of this 3369-nucleotide RNA transcript. It is a transcript of the gene named epsin-1-like, with no coding region annotated. Lineage: Eukaryota; Metazoa; Chordata; Actinopteri; Salmoniformes; Salmonidae. The record is from RefSeq and is a predicted model, not a curated record. The transcript is spliced from 12 exons.